This 1050-nucleotide long non-coding RNA is filed under the name Taeniopygia guttata (zebra finch). RNAcentral's name for it is "lncRNA (ENSTGUG00000027321.1)". Lineage: Eukaryota; Metazoa; Chordata; Aves; Passeriformes; Estrildidae. The record is from RNAcentral.
ACCCCCCCGUACACACACACAGCCACAGGGAGAGGAGCCGCCCGGACACACAGACACACGGGGGACCCCCUCCCCCUUUCACACGCACACAGAGGGGACCCCCCCCGGCACACACACACACACACAGAAGGGACUCCCCCCCGCACACACACAGGGGGCACCCCCCCGCACACACACAGCCACACGAGCCCACCCCCAUCCGCGCACACACAGCCGAUCCCCCCGCUCCCGAGGGCAGCCCCGCAGCCCCGGAGCGCAGCACGCAGCCGCCCCCCGCCACGAUCCGCUCCCCACCGCCCCGCUCACCUCCUCGGGCGCCGGGGACGCGGGGCUGGGCACGGGGCUGCUCCCCGCCGAGCACGGCCCGCCGCGGGGGCAGGGCUCCGCCGGCUGCCCGCCGGCGCUCAUGCCGGUGCCGGUGGCGGUGCCGGUAGCGGUGGCGGUGCCGGUAGCAGUCCCGGUGCCGGUAGCAGUCCCGGUACGGUGCGGUGCCCGCCGCCGGUGGGAGCGAGGCUCGAGCGCCGCCCCGGCCGCAGGGGCGGGACCACCUGGUGGCGGGGAAGGCGGGGGCGGGGCCUCGCGCCGGCCGUCCCGGUGCGGGGGGGUGCCGGUGAGUGUCCGCCCCUCCCGGUACCGAAUGCGGGAGCGCAGCCGGGCUGGACUCGCCCGGACCCGCCGCCGCCGCCAACGGCAACGCCGCGGCACCGCCCACCGCCGCGCGGGGCCGCGGCUCAUGGAAUGUUGGGGCUCGGGGGAACACCGCGCUCGAACGGUCCCCGCGCGCCGGGGCCGGGCGGAACCCACCCCACCCCACCGGGCUGCUCCGUGCGACACGGCCCGGGACAGCUCCGGGCUGCUCCGGCCAACCUGGGCCACUGCCUCUACACACUCCCAGGGAAGAAUUUCAUCCUAGUAUCCAAAGUUGUCUCCUCUUUCACUUUAAAGCCAUCCCCCCUUCUCUCAUCCCUAUCCGCCCGUGUAAAAAGUCACUCCCUCUCUUUAAAAUAUGUCAACAGUAAAAGCCACCCCAGAAUUCACAUUUUCUCGUAA